GUCAGUAACCCAGCCCUAAAGGGACUGAGCUUGCAAUUUCUUGCAAGCUGUACUGACCAGACCACCCUAAGGGUAGUCUAAGGGUAGCCGUUAUUUGAGUCACGACACCUCGAAAUGCGUAGCCAGUUUCCCGCUCUGUCGCUGUAAGUUAAACAGUUCUAAGGUCACUGGAACAGUGCUUUCAGCCUAACAAGCUCUUAUAACAGGUCAAGGCUAACAUUAC
Non-coding RNA from Anabaena sp. 90, 223 nucleotides. It matches the Rfam family "HNH endonuclease-associated RNA and ORF (HEARO) RNA". The record is from Rfam. NCBI's taxonomy places the organism in Bacteria, Bacillati, Cyanobacteriota, Cyanophyceae, Nostocales, Nostocaceae.